RNAcentral lists this ribosomal RNA (449 nucleotides) under uncultured prokaryote. Its description in RNAcentral is "bacterial SSU rRNA". It matches the Rfam family "Bacterial small subunit ribosomal RNA", at positions 355 to 796 of the family's 1533-position model. The record is from RNAcentral.
CUAAGAAUCUUCUGCAAUGGACGAAAGUCUGACAGAGCGACGCCGCGUGGGUGAUGAAGGCCGGAAGGUUGUAAAGCCCUUUUCUAUCUGAGGAAUAAGCGCAGGAGGCAAUGCCUGCGGGAUGACGGUAGGGUAGGAAGAAGCCCCGGCCAAUUACGUGCCAGCAGCCGCGGUAACACGUAUGGGGCGAGCGUUGUUCGGAAUCAUUGGGCGUAAAGGGCGCGUAGGCGGAUCGGCAAGCUUGGUGUGAAAGGCCGCAGCUCAACUGCGGAGAGGCGCUGAGAACUGGCGAUCUGGAGUUCAAGAGGGGAAGCUGGAAUUCCUGGUGUAGGGGUGAAAUCUGUAGAGAUCAGGAAGAACAUCAGUGGCGAAGGCGAGCUUCUGGCUAUGAACUGACGCUGAGGCGCGAAAGCGUGGGGAGCGAACAGGAUUAGAUACCCCCGUAGUCC